RNAcentral lists this long non-coding RNA (700 nucleotides) under Homo sapiens (human). Its description in RNAcentral is "HSALNT0152309". The record is from RNAcentral. Lineage: Eukaryota; Metazoa; Chordata; Mammalia; Primates; Hominidae.
CACAAAGCCUGCAGCUGAGUUGUUUGUUUGUUUGUUCCUGAAUCUCUUUUGUUGUUGUUGUUGUUGUUAUUGUUGUACCUAAAUCUCUUUUCCUGUUUGAGUCUGGAAGGACCUGGCUUCAGGAACUCUGAAUGGCCAAGUUUCAUAGUCUUCCUGAGCUUUAACCAGUAAAGUGGUCAUCGCUCCAUCCCCACCUCUGGUCAUCCUCCCCACCCCCAGCUUCAGGAAGCACAAGGACAGGAACCCACAGGCAGCCCUGAGCCCAGCCUAGACUGCGGGAAGGCAACUGAGACCUCCAUGAGAAGGGGGCACCUGAGAGCACAUGCAACCAAGCUGUGUCCCUGCAAGGGACCACCCUCCCUAGGCCGGUGUCAGCUGAGUCCUCUCUCUCCGUCGGCCAGGUGCCCUCACUGCCCAGAGGUGGAACUCAGCAGCCCAGGCGCCGCCGCCCUGAGUAUCCUGCGGAAAAUGUGAGAACUCUGGGGAGCCAUUGCUGCUGCAAGGACCCGCGGGCGGGCUACCGCGCUGGUGGGGGGGCUCUGUCCAAACCUUGCGUCCUCGACUUCCCAUCCGCCUCAUAAAGGGUUGGUGAAGACCAUCUCAAGGACCGCACGAACUGGUCCUUCAAGUCCCAGGAAACCGAAACAACAACCGAGGCGGCUCUCUGUCCGGGCCACUUCCGGAGCGAGCUCUGCGGCGG